AUGGUAACGUGAAGCUGCUUCAGCAGAGUCAAACUUUCUACUCUGGCGUUCUAGUGUGCUGUGGGCUCCUUCAAGACCACGGCAGCCACCAGUUACAGAACGAGUCACCCCGGGCCGAUAAUUAUGUAACCCAGUGGGUGCCACACACACCUGUGCCCUGCUUCCUUCUCUCCUGUUCCAGUGCAGUUUUAAGCUCAAAAGCAGAGGAGGGUGAUGCUCUGUUCCCGGCUGCAAUUAACUCCAGAAAUAUGUGUCCUUUCGCAGUGAAGUCAACCUCUGUGCACAGACCUGGGGAGUCUCUGAGGAGAUUGGCACUGGGCUCUGAGAACUGAUAAAAGGCUUCUAGAUCCCAACAUGAACUGAAGACCAGCAACUCUCCAGGAAUCCUCGAGGCCUCACUCCAGCAACAGACUAGGACUGUAGAGACAUCCAGCCUCCGGGCCUGAACAACUAUCGGAUUCUCUGUCUUCAGUCAGGAGACAGCUAUGACUAGACAACCCAGACUGCAUCCUAUUGCUGCAGCGCGAUCCGACUCUGCUCCGAAAUGAAAUUAAUUCUCAACAGUUCUUCUGCUGUGUGAAGGCACGAAAAUUGAGCUUCUUCUGUAUGCAAUGCUAGAAAUAUGCCUCAUUUCUCCUUCAAGCCACAAAACGGGUCUCUCUCUCUCUCUUUCUCUUUCUCUCUCUCUCUCUCUCAUCCCCUUCCCUCUCCCCUUCCCCCUCUGUUAUCCAUUUUCUUUAAUACCAUGAAAUUGCAAUUAGCCUAUAGGGCACAGACUAAUCAGCACAGAGAUUGCCACAUGGAAGUCAGUCUAGGCAAGAAAGAAGGGAGGGGCAGCUUCCACAACACGAGAUGAACUGGAAAAGCCAACAGCGCUCCAGUGCAGCCCCCCCCCCCCCAGAGCUCUCACGUUGUCUCUGGGAGUUGAACCUUGUCAAGAAGCACUGAGGACUCAAGGGACUAUGCUGUUACUUUCUGAACCGGCUGCCUUCUGUGUCUGCAUAGAGGAGGUAGCAUUUGUGAGUAAGCCUGGCUAAGGUCUGUCCUAGAUGGGCCAUAGGACUGACUCCACCCAGGAGAAUUCUAAUAGAAAGUGACAGGUCUGAUGGGAAUAAGCCUCUCAUGAGAGAGUGCUAGGUCGCUAGGGAAGGUCUGAGCUCACCUUUCCAGUGUAUUCUUACACCUCUAUGUCGAAAGGGACUCCCUAAACAGGAAGCCCAGAGGAAGGCACCUAUGUGCUGUUCUCAGGCCACGAACAGAGCUACAAGCGUCUACUCUGGUUUUGGGUUUGGUUUGGGUUUUUGCACGGUACCCUAACUCCAUCAUCUAAAGCAUUCACUGAACCAUAAACAUGUAUCUCUUAAA
Molecule: long non-coding RNA, 1365 nt
Organism: Rattus norvegicus (Norway rat)
Lineage: Eukaryota; Metazoa; Chordata; Mammalia; Rodentia; Muridae
Source: RefSeq, a predicted model, not a curated record